Molecule: non-coding RNA, 1021 nt
Organism: Oncorhynchus mykiss (rainbow trout)
Lineage: Eukaryota; Metazoa; Chordata; Actinopteri; Salmoniformes; Salmonidae
Source: RefSeq, a predicted model, not a curated record
CACUCAAUGCACAUAAGUGACGUGAGGUUAAUCCAGUCAAUCGCGCCAUAGCAAUGUUUUUUGUUUUAUGUUGGCAGGGUUUACACACACACUAUCUGAAUUUGCAGAGCUAGCGUGCAAACAUUAACUAUUAAACUAGCUAGUACCUAUUCCAUUCAUGUGGCGUCGUCAAAGAUGGAAUCAUUGCUGUCGUCAGUUUAUUCCAGGAUCAGCAUGCAGCUGUAGUGCUUCAAAGUCACUGUGAUAAGCCAAAUGACAGAAGACCAACGGAGACAUCAAAGCUGCCAAUCUACUAUAAUUGACCAGUUUUUCAAUUAUAUGAAUGAAGGAAAAUUAUCAUUUCAAUAAAGCUUUGCUUGUCUUGUGAAAUAGCUGUGUAUCCAGACAUGUGUCCCACUUCCAUACCACAUCCUCUAGAUGACAGCGUCUAUGUAAUGUGAAGAAACAACCACUCAUUGCUGGUAGUAAGUUUAUUGACAAAAUUCCCACUUCACACACAGCUAUGCAUUAACAUACACACACACCUCAUAGUUAGGGCCCUGUCUUUUGGUUAAUCACAUCACAUGACCUGAAUUUUAACCAUUUAUAUUUUAUUUAACUAGACAAGUCAGUUAAGAACAAAUACUUAUUUGCAAUGAUGGCCUACCAAAAGGCCUCCUGCAGGGGCUAGGAUUAUUUUUUUAAAUAUAAUAUAGGACAACACACAUCCUGACGAGAGACAACACUACAUAGAGACCUAAGACGACAACAACAUAGCACGGCAGCAACACAUGACAACUGUCCCCUUAUUUUUUAUUUUUUUAUCUCAGAUGGUCCAGCACCAUCCUCUGACAAUUGCUUUCAUUUUUUGGUCUACUUCUCAUUUAUGGAAAAGGUUUAAAAUAAAAGGUUACAGUUCCAGGUCAUAUGAGAUGAUUAAUCAAAACGCAGGUCCCUACUCACAGGGAAGGAAAAUACAGUCAGCUGAAUAUAUCACAUGACCUACGGCAAACAUUAUUGGUGUGUCUGAGCUGUUAGGGGA